GAUGAACGCUAGCUACAGGCUUAACACAUGCAAGUCGAGGGGAAACGGCAUUAAGUGCUUGCACUUUUUGGACGUCGACCGGCGCACGGGUGAGUAACGCGUAUCCAACCUGCCCCUUACCAGGGAAUAACCCGUUGAAAGACGGACUAAUGCCCUAUGCAGUCCUUUGACGGCAUCAGAUUAUGACUAUAGAUUCAUCGGUAUGGGAUGGGGAUGCGUCUGAUUAGCUUGUUGGCGGGGUAACGGCCCACCAAGGCAUCGAUCAGUAGGGGUUCUGAGAGGAUGGUCCCCCACAUAGGAACUGCGACACAGUCCUCACUCGUACGCGAGGCAGCAGUGAGUUAUAUUGGUCAGUGGUCGCUAGCCUGAUCCAGCCAAGUAGCGUGCAGGACGCCUGCCCUAUGGGUUGUAACCUGCUUUUAUGCGGGGAUAAAGUCACCCACGUGUGGGUGUUUGCAGGUACCGCAUGAAUAAGGACCGGCUAAUUCCGUG
This 492-nucleotide ribosomal RNA is filed under the name uncultured bacterium. Its description in RNAcentral is "partial 16S ribosomal RNA". It matches the Rfam family "Bacterial small subunit ribosomal RNA", at positions 28 to 507 of the family's 1533-position model. The record is from RNAcentral.